CCUCAGGGCCAGCGUGCACAGAGUGGGCGCAGUAGCCUGAGCUUUGCUCAAGAAGGUCUCCAGACCUGCAGAGAGAACUAGAUGCCAAACACCAGAGGCUCACACACACUCACUCAUGCACACACACACAACAGGCUCACACAAUCCUCUCUACACACUCACUAAUGGACACACAUGCACACACACACUCAUAUACAUACACACGCACACCAGGCGCACACAAUCCUCUCUACACACUCAUGAACACACAUGCACACACACACUCAUAUACAUACACACGCACACCAGGCUCACACCAUCCUCUCUACACACUCACUCAUGGACACACAUGCACACACACACUCAUAUACAUAUGCACUCACACCAGGCUCACCAUCCUCUCUACACACUCACUCAUGUACACACAUGCACACACACAUACAUACACACGCACACCAGGCUCACACCAUCCUCUCUACACACUCAUGGACACACAUGCACACACACACUCAUAUACAUACACACGCACACCAGGCUCACACAAUCUUCUCUACACACUCACUCAUGAACACACAUGCACACACAGACUCAUAUACAUACACACACCAGGCUCACACCAUCCUCUCUACACACUCAUGGACACACAUGCACACACACACUCAUACAUACACACGCACACCAGGCUCACACCAUCCUCUCUACACACUCAUGGACACA
This 696-nucleotide long non-coding RNA is filed under the name Pan troglodytes (chimpanzee). RNAcentral's name for it is "lncRNA (ENSPTRG00000053367.1)". The record is from RNAcentral. Lineage: Eukaryota; Metazoa; Chordata; Mammalia; Primates; Hominidae.